GGUCGCUUAGCUCAGUUGGUUAGAGCGUGGUGCUAAUAAUGUGACAAUCGCGUGACACGCCAAGGUCGCGAGUUCGACCCUCGUAGUGACCA
RNAcentral lists this transfer RNA (92 nucleotides) under Westerdykella ornata. It matches the Rfam family "tRNA". Rfam says of the family: Transfer RNA (tRNA) molecules are approximately 80 nucleotides in length. Lineage: Eukaryota; Fungi; Ascomycota; Dothideomycetes; Pleosporales; Sporormiaceae. The record is from Rfam by way of RNAcentral.